Molecule: long non-coding RNA, 2685 nt
Organism: Lutra lutra (Eurasian river otter)
Lineage: Eukaryota; Metazoa; Chordata; Mammalia; Carnivora; Mustelidae
Exons: 3
Source: RefSeq, a predicted model, not a curated record
UCAGCCUUUCCCCAGGCCAGACCCUGUGCCUCACUGUCCUCCCCGUUCACUGCCCACAAAGAAAGCUGCAGGCAGGCUGUCGGGGGACCUGCCUGCUGAGAGGGGGGUCCCCACGUGCAGGGCCUGACGUGGGAGCAGGGGAGGAGGCGGCUGUGGACCCCUGCUCCGAACACGGUUUUCACAUCCUCUCCCAUCAGGUCAGAGUCCCAGGAAGCAGCCGUUGUGAGAAAUGGCAAAGAUCGGGAAGGAUCCCUUCUUGUUCCAGAAACAAGCAGAAAAGCGAUUCUGGUUUGGUUUGUCCUGCGUGAGUUUUACUCCCCAACCUGGUGUUCGGGGGAAAAUUAAGGAAAUUUGACCAAGAUGAAGCGAUCAGGAAAACGCUCAGCAGCUAAACGGGCUCGCAGUUGGCGUGACAGCGUUCAGGGGCCCGUCCCUCCCUUUCACAAAAGCCGCCGUCUUUGCCAACGUUUAGAGUGCUUCCUCCGACAGCAGGAACUGAGCCGCGUGUGACAGCAGGUGGUCACUCAAAGCUGAGCAAUCGGGAGCCUACGUGGUGUGGAGUGCACCAGGAAUCUCUAUGCCCAACAUGGGGCUCAAACUCACGGCCCGGAGAGUGGCACACUCCCCCGAGAGCUGCAGCCCUGCACGUCCAGCAGCGGCGCACGGCUGUCUUCCCGCCCCUGCCGCCCGUGCCCGGGGCUGCACGCUGUGUCGGGUGUCCAGACGGUGGGUGUGAGGCAACCUAGUGCUACUUUCGCCGGCCUUCACGGGCACUGGCAAGCUCACACACAGCUCAUCCAGUCUGGCGGGAUUCCGGCUCCUUGUCUGUGAACUUACUCUCCUCCCCCUCUGGCGUCCUCCUUCCGCUUUGCCAACUUCACACCCCUCCAACGGACAUAAUUUUGUUCGUGGAUUUUUACUUAUUACACUUAAAUCUUUCAUCCAUCCAUCUAUUAAGAUAGGGAUUCAACUCCGUCCUUCUAGACGAACAACCAGUCGCGCUCACGCUGUUCGCUAAAGCUACAAUUUUCCCUCCUCUCUGUCUACCACGCCUUAUUUUCUACGCCCUUCCACUGACCUCUCGGUCUGUUCUCAUGCCAUACCAUGAAAAUUUGAUUGUAGUGGCUUAAAAAUGCUAUCUUUUCCACACUUUCCUUGGACAUUUUGCCACAUAAAUCCUUAGGCUGAUUUUGUUCGGUGAAAAAAGGCCUGCCAAGACAUUCCGCCGCAGCCGCCUUCAUCGCGGGACACUGGCCUUUCUAGAGAGCAACCCUUCCCACCCAAAGCCGGGCUGUGCCGCCAGCUGUCUUCCAUCUGUCACCGAGCAUUUCACAGCUUCCGCCUUCUGGGCUCUGUGCACCCAGAGAGGACCGGGCGCUGACACUCAGACCUGUCGGGGUCGCCAUUCCCGCGGGGGCACGGGAGGCUGGGCUGGGACGGCAGGUGGAAGGGAGGAGGGCUGUGCCUGCACCCACCACCUCCCGGCCCGCGUCCAUCACUGCCACCUUUGUUUUCUUUUUGCUACACCGCAAUGUCACAUGUCAUGCCACUCUUCGAAUGUCAUUGAGGGAUGUGAACCAUUUUAUAAUUCACAACCACUGGUGAUCAAUUCCAGGUAAGCAAAUACAUUUUCAUUUUGUUUUGCUUAUCAUGUGCUAGCGAAUACAGACUACAGAUAUUCGAGCUAUUCCUUGGGUCACCAGAAUCAUCCCUAGCUGUAGUUUUGUAAGUAAGACAUGCGAAAGUGUGUCGAAGCUUUGUGAGGUGUAAAGUUGAGGAUGAUGUUUGUAGGGGGACGUCUGGAUCGAUCUUAGGAGACUGCGUGUGAGGCCCAUCCGUGUCCAGGCACAACUAAGGCGCUAAGUCGGAAAAUCUGUGUGUGGGAGAAAAUCCGGCUGUGGGCCCGUGGGCGUGUCUGAGAUCUUCAAUGCCCUUCAGAUCAAUGCCUCAGGACCCUGCCCAACUCACCAGACCUGGCACUGCCCUGCAUGAGGGGACUGGGCCCCCAAGUCCCCAGGCCACUGUGAAGACUCUGUGUCAAAUGGUGAACAGGUCACCCUGUCACACCGCGGGCUACAACAAGCCCUGUGACCGACAGAUGCUUCCAGAAGGGCCAAUAGGACCCUGCCUCAUCGUGACACCAAUCGUCAGUAAGCCCCAAACUCCUAACAGGGAAGCUGAGAGUGUGCCCUACAGCAAUGCUACAUCCCUUCCUGGCUAUGUGAGGCCCCUCGCGAUAUCAUGUGGAGUCCCAGUGUCCUGUCCUGCCACCAAGAUCCUCCAUCGGGCAGCCCGCCUUCCCCACGCCGCCUGUGUCCCAGCAGAGCCUCUGACCCCUGGGCUGGGGCUUCAUGGUGAGCCCACCCUCCAUCGGCUACUCCACGCGAGCUCGAUCCUGAAACCCCGGCAGGCUCCCCAAGCACGCCCGCUCCUUCAGCCCCACGGCGCUCACUGGGACCUCUCCAACAAUCUCCUCCACUUCUAUCACUUGCCUUUUCUUGAGCUGUGCGUGUGUUUCCCUAACAAGGAAGACAGAGAGUGAGUGGUGAUGUUUAAAUGUAGCAGCUGGGGCGGCUGGGGGGGCGCAGAUGAUUGAGCAUCUGCUUUCGGCUCAGGUCAUGAUCUCCAGGUCCUGUGAUCGAGCCCCACAUUGGGCUUCCAGCUCAGAGGCGAGCCUGCUUCUCC